GUGUGUGUGUGUGUGUGUAAAGGAGAAAUAGUCUCUCUCUCUCUCUGUAAAGGAGAAAGAAGCUACAGGGAAGAAGCAAGAAGAAGAAAAUAAGGGAAGAAAAAAGAAGGAAUAAGUGGCGGGGUCCAGCUUCGGGCAAGCAAAGUCAUUAGUAAUGGCGCAGGACAUAGAAGACAAGAAGCACUACUUGUUUCUCCACCACCCAUUGCCCAAUAUUUCAGGUGCAUUGACCAAAAUGCCCUUCAAAACUAAGGGGAGAGUACCAACUCAACCAACACCAUUCCUUGCGAGAAAUUUUAGAGGCAGACAGGAUGGAGCCAGGCAAUUCUAAUUAUAGUUUUCUCAUGUAUUUUUAUUUGGUAAAUUCCAAAGUAAUUCUACAUUAUUAUUGUUCAAGAUUUAUAUACACAUAUACCAACUACCCUUCAAUUCUUUCUGUGUGUGAUUCUUCUAAGGUGAAGAAGGAAUAAGAUGUUUAAAGCCUAAUGGGUUCGUUGGUCGGUCAUCCUCUUCAUGGGUGAAAAGUUCAUGGGAAGUAUAAACAAUUUAUAAUUAAGGGAUCUGAUUUAGUUCUGUAUCUAAUCUGAGUUUUUAAUUUUCACUUUAUCUCGUAAUGAUGAUCGAUGAUGCUGCUGCUGCUUCUUUGUUGCAUUUUCUUUCAGAUAUUCCCUUGGAUUUCAUCUGUUUAAAUAUGUGUAAUUCUACUGGAUUUAUGUAAUGAACACGAGGCUCCUAUUGGCUACCAACAAACUAAGUCACGAUUUUCUUAUCAUCCAA
Malus domestica (apple) is the source of this 777-nucleotide non-coding RNA. Lineage: Eukaryota; Viridiplantae; Streptophyta; Magnoliopsida; Rosales; Rosaceae. The record is from RefSeq and is a predicted model, not a curated record.